Molecule: ribosomal RNA, 636 nt
Filed under: Australaphodius sp. NLG-2014
Lineage: Eukaryota; Metazoa; Arthropoda; Insecta; Coleoptera; Scarabaeidae
Also listed under: 1 other name
Description: eukaryotic LSU rRNA
Rfam family: Eukaryotic large subunit ribosomal RNA
Source: RNAcentral
GAGUCUAGCAUGUGCGCGAGUCAUUGGGACCGCACUAAACCUAAAGGCGUAAUGAAAGUAAAGGUCCGCCUUGCGCGGACCUAGGGAGGAUGGGUCGGCCUUCGGGCAGGCCCCGCACUCCCGGGGCGUCUCAUUCUCAUCGCGAGAAGAGGCGCACCCAGAGCGUACACGCUGGGACCCGAAAGAUGGUGAACUAUGCCUGGUCAGGACGAAGUCAGGGGAAACCCUGAUGGAGGUCCGUAGCGAUUCUGACGUGCAAAUCGAUCGUCGGAACUGGGUAUAGGGGCGAAAGACUAAUCGAACCAUCUAGUAGCUGGUUCCCUCCGAAGUUUCCCUCAGGAUAGCUGGCGCUCGCAGCGUGCGAGUCUCAUUCGGUAAAGCGAAUGAUUAGAGGCAUUGGGGUCGAAACGGCCUCAACCUAUUCUCAAACUUUAAAUGGGUGAGAUCUCCGGCUUGCUUGAACGGUGAAGCCGCGAGAUAUCGGAUCAGAGUGCCAAGUGGGCCACUUUUGGUAAGCAGAACUGGCGCUGUGGGAUGAACCAAACGCCGAGUUAAAGCGCCAAAAUCGACGCUUAUGGGAUACCAUGAAAGGCGUUGGUAACUUAAGACAGCAGGACGGUGGCCAUGGAAGUCGGA